RNAcentral lists this ribosomal RNA (356 nucleotides) under uncultured bacterium. RNAcentral's name for it is "partial 16S ribosomal RNA". It matches the Rfam family "Bacterial small subunit ribosomal RNA", at positions 338 to 686 of the family's 1533-position model. The record is from RNAcentral.
CCUACGGGGGGCAGCAGUGGGGAAUAUUGCGCAAUGGGCGAAAGCCUGACCCAGCGACGCCGCGUGAGGGAUGAAGGUCUUCGGAUCGUUAACCCUCGUCAGCAGGGAAGAACGGUCACUGUGCUAAUCAGCAGUGAAUUGACGGUACCUGCAAAGGAAGCACCGGCUAAAUCCGUGCCAGCAGCCGCGGUAAUACGGAGGGUGCGAGCGUUAAUCGGAAUUACUGGGCGUAAAGCGCUCGUAGGCGGUAUGUCAAGUCAAGGGUGAAAUCCCCGCGCUCAACGUGGGAACUGCCUUUGAAACUGGCAAACUGGAGUGUGUGAGAAGAUAGUGGAAUGCGAGGUGUAGGAGUGAAA